GAGUUUGAUCGUGGCUCAGGAUAAACGCUGGCGGCGCACAUAAGACAUGCAAGUCGAACGGACAGAAUCCGAAUGUUUCAUUUGGGGGAUGUUAGUGGCGGACUGGUGAGUAACGCGUAAGGAACCUGCCUAUUAGAGGGGAAUAACAGUGAGAAAUCAUUGCUAAUACCGCAUAUACCAUAAUAGUUGCAUGACUGAAAUGGGAAAGGAGAAAUCCGCUAAUAGAUGGCCUUGCGUCUGAUUAGGUAGUUGGUGGGGUAAAGGCCUACCAAGCCGACGAUCAGUAGCCGGACUGAGAGGUUGAACGGCCACAUUGGGACUGAGAUACGGCCCAGACUCCUACGGGAGGCAGCAGUCGGGAAUAUUGCGCAAUGGAGGAAACUCUGACGCAGUGACGCCGCGUAUAGGAAGAAGGUUUUCGGAUUGUAAACUAUUGUCGUUAGGGAAGAGAAAGGACAGUACCUAAGGAGGAAGCUCCGGCUAACUACGUGCCAGCCGCCGCCGUAAC
This 508-nucleotide ribosomal RNA is filed under the name uncultured bacterium. RNAcentral describes it as "bacterial SSU rRNA". It matches the Rfam family "Bacterial small subunit ribosomal RNA", at positions 9 to 524 of the family's 1533-position model. The record is from RNAcentral.